RNAcentral lists this ribosomal RNA (460 nucleotides) under uncultured bacterium. RNAcentral describes it as "partial 16S ribosomal RNA". It matches the Rfam family "Bacterial small subunit ribosomal RNA", at positions 338 to 795 of the family's 1533-position model. The record is from RNAcentral.
CCUACGGGAGGCAGCAGUGAGGAAUAUUGGUCAAUGGGCGCGAGCCUGAACCAGCCAAGUAGCGUGAAGGAUGACUGCCCUCCGGGUUGUAAACUUCUUUUAUAAAGGAAUAAAGUGAGGCACGUGUGCCUUUUUGUAUGUACUUUAUGAAUAAGGAUCGGCUCACUCCGUUCCAGCCGCCGCGGUAAUAAGGAGGAUCCGAGCAUUAGACUGAUUUAUUGGGUUUAACGGGAGCGUAGAUGGUUUGUUAAGUAAGUUGUGAAAGUUUGCGGCUCAACCGGAAAAUUGCAAUUGAUACUGGCAGUCUUGAGUACAGUUGAGGUAGGCGGAAUUCGUGGUGUAGCGGUGAAAUGCGUAGAUAUCACGAAGAACUCCGAUUGCGAAGGCAGCUUACUAAACUGCCACUGACAUUGAUGCUCGAAAGUGUGGGUAUCAAACAGGAUUAGAUACCCCGGUAGUC